AGUUUGCUCAACCGGAGGGGGAUGACAAGACUCUGUGUGUUGAUGAGUGGCCGUUUCUUCAAACAGAGUUUUGUGAGAAGGUGAACCAGCCAACUGCUCGGGUUGUCUCUGGACAGAGAAAACAAGAGGAGCCAACACCUUGGGGGCCAAAAGUUGUGAUGGCCCAGGCUGAUAAACCAACAGCCAAUGAGACCAGCUUCUUGGGAUGUUCAACCAAGAUGACACACAUUGAGGACCAUGAGCCGUUUGAACCAGCACCUGAGGUCACUGCGAGCAGUCAGCAGCAGAGCCCGCCUGAGGACAAUGGCCAGCUUGAAGAUCCUCAUGCAACACUUGGCAAUCAGAAGGUACUUAUUUUUAACAUGUUAAUCCCUGUUCCUUGUGAGUUUUCCUGCCAUUUAUUAGAUCUUGGAAAUUAGGUAAAGUAAUGUUAAUAUCAUGUACAAUUCCGUUUUCCCAUUAUACACAGCCAUGAACUACAGCUGAUUGAUUCCUAGCCUUU
Molecule: long non-coding RNA, 502 nt
Organism: Gadus morhua (Atlantic cod)
Lineage: Eukaryota; Metazoa; Chordata; Actinopteri; Gadiformes; Gadidae
Exons: 4
Source: RefSeq, a predicted model, not a curated record